This 520-nucleotide ribosomal RNA is filed under the name uncultured archaeon. Its description in RNAcentral is "bacterial SSU rRNA". It matches the Rfam family "Archaeal small subunit ribosomal RNA", at positions 325 to 849 of the family's 1478-position model. The record is from RNAcentral.
ACGGGGUGCAGCAGGCGCGAAACCUUCGCAAUGCACGAAAGUGCGACGAGGUUAUUUCGAGUGCUAUCCGCUGAGGAUAGCUUUUGUCAGGUGUAAAUAGCCUGGAGAAUAAGGGGAGGGCAAGUCUGGUGUCAGCCGCCGCGGUAAUACCAGCUCCCCGAGUGGUCGGGACGAUUAUUGGGCCUAAAGCAUCCGUAGCCUGCUUUGCAGGUCUUCUGUUAAAUUCAACGGCUUAACCGUUGAGCUGCAGGAGAUACCACAAGGCUAGGAGGCGGGAGAGGUAGACGGUACUCCAUGGGUAGGGGUAAAAUCCUCUGAUCCAUGGAAGACCACCAGUGGCGAAGGCGGUCUACCAGAACGCGCUCGACGGUGAGGGAUGAAAGCUGGGGGAGCGAACCGGAUUAGAUACCCGGGUAGUCCCAGCCGUAAACGAUGCUAGCUAGGUGACGGAGUGGUUUCGUACCAUUCCGGUGCCGCAGGGAAGCCGUUAAGCUAGCCGCCUGGGAGUACGUCGCAAGAC